RNAcentral lists this long non-coding RNA (3171 nucleotides) under Solanum lycopersicum (tomato). Lineage: Eukaryota; Viridiplantae; Streptophyta; Magnoliopsida; Solanales; Solanaceae. The record is from RNAcentral.
UAAUUGUUGAGCCAAACACCUAUAUAUACCGUUCAAUAGCACAAUCAGUUCAUCAUCUUCGUUUUCAUCUCCAAUUGUGGGCGUUUUUGCUGAGGUAUUUGUGAUUUCUUUUGAUUUUCUUUUUCUGAUUUUGAAAUGAAUUCUCAUUUUGAAAUGAAAUAUGUGAAUGAGUAGGCUAUGAUGCUCAAAAUCUACCUAUUUGCUGAAAGGAGAUUUUCUCCUUCUGUGAUUAUACAUUUAACCAAUGGAUCCUUCUGAGCCUACUCAUAUUUUUCGAAAUUUUUGUGUUCUUUUAUCGAUUUCUAGUUUUUUUUUUUAAAAAAAGUUGGAUUGUUCUGAACCAUUGAAGUGACGAAAUCCGAUUCAGGAAAGUUUAUAUGUCGACCUAAAAAAUCAUUCAGACUACAAUUAUCUGAUCAAUGGUUUACUUCAUUUUUUUUUCGGUUAAUUUAUAUGUUUUAGAUCUAAGAUUUGAUGAAAUUUUAUUAUUUUUUCUGGAUUUUAUUUAGUUAAAAUAAUGUUCGAAUAUUUUUGUUAAAGUUUGUUGUUUAUGUUAUGAGUCAUUGAAGCGAUGAUAUCCGAUUCAGGAAAGUUUAUGUGUCGACCUAAAAAAUCAUUCAGAUUACAAUUAUCUGAUCAAUGGUUUACUUCAUUUUUUCUAUUUUUUUGGUUAAUUUAUAUGUUUUAGAUCUAAGAUUUGAUGAAAUUUUAUCAUUUUUUCUGGAUUUUAUAUACGUCAAAUAAUGUUGAAUAUUUUUGUUAAAGUUUGUUGUAUAUGUUAUGAAUCAUUGAAGGGAUGAUAUCCGAUUCAGGAAAGUUUAUAUGUCGACCCAAAAAAAUCAUUCAGACUACAAUUAUCUGAUCAAAUGAUUCACUUUUUAAUAACUUUUUUGUUUUAUUGUGAUUUUAUGAAAAUAAAGAUGUUGAUUUUUACUGCAUUUUUGUUCUUUGAUAACUAUCAUGGAUAUCCAACAAAUUUAGAGAAUGAAAAUAUGAAAAAUUUACUGCAAUUUUUUUUUUAAAAAAAUAUAUGAAUAAAUCCAUUAGAGGUUCUUGACUUGUGUGACAAUGACCAAUAAUCAAAUUCAUGUUAGAAUAUUGUUAAUAUUUUUUAAGAAUUUAUUUUUUCAUUAUUUUUAAUGUAUGAAUAUUAGUAAAAAAUUAUUUACAAAUUCAAUAUAAUUAUUAUUUAUGACAGUAAAGUGCAGACAAAUUAGCUAAUUAAUUAUAUUUUUCAAUUCACGUUUGAAAACAUUAUAAAGUCAAAUGCCUAGGCAUUGAUUUUUUUUUUUGAAGUAGCAAUUUUAUAAAAAAAAAUUAUAAUAUUUUUUGAAAUUCAAUAUAUAGCUUGUAAGAAAAGAUACAUUGUUUUAAAAAAAUUGAGAAUUAAGUAAAUUUUUGAAUAAGUAAAAAAAUAUAAGAAUAAGUAAAAUUUUAAAUUUUUGAAGAUAAUCACAUGUCAACUUUAAAAGAAAGGGUGUCAUGUCAAAUUUUUACAAAAAUAUUCAAACUUUUUUAAAAAAUUCACAUGCAUUAUAAAAAAUUGUGUCAAUUUACAUAUAAAUAGUGUCAAAGUCACAUAUUACAUUUUAAUUUGUUAUAAAUUGAUUGAAUAUUCACAUGUAAAUAGUGUAAUUUAUAUUUUGUUAUUGAUUGCUUGAAUUCACAUGUGUCAAAUAGUGUCAACAUUUUUACUUUGUUAUAAAUUGAUGAAUUGCUCAUUCAUAUUGCACUACUUAUAAUAAAGUAAAAAUAUAAACACUAUUUGAACGUGAAUUGUAUUCAAUUAAUUUAUAAUAAAACAAAGCAAUACUAUUUGAAUGUGAAUUCAAUCAAUUAAGUACAAAAUAAAAAUUACACUAUUUGCAUGUGAAAUACAAUUAAUAUGAAAUAUAUAUAUUUAUAUAUAUAUAUAUUUAUAUAUAUAUAUUGUUGAUGAAAAGCGAUUUUUAAAAAUACUAAAAAAAAACUAAAAUCACUACACUAAAUUAUUUAAAUAAAAUUAUUGCCACCAUUUAAUUAACUUUUUUUUUAAAAAAAUAAUAAUUGGAAAAUGCUACUAGAGUAACGAUUUUAUUAAAUUUUAAAAGAAAAAUUUAGAAAAUUGCUGCGACUUCAUUUUUUUAAGUUAAUUUUUUAAUAAAAAUAAAAAUUGUUGGAAGCCACUUUCUUGUUCUUCAAUAGUUUAUAAUCAAACGUAUCAUAAUAUUUGUGUGGUCAUCAAAAUAUAUGACCAAACUAUCAUUUACGUCAAAAUAUUUCUUUUCAGCCUUUCAAACCUUCUGUAAAGGUGAUAUAUAAAAUUUAUUCAAUUAUACAUAAACACAUUUUUAUCCAUACAAACACAAAUAUUUUCUUCAAAAAAUUAAAUAUAACCAUUUGUACAUGAUUCAUAAAUUUUUAUUAGAAACUAAUUGUCAUGCUUUGGCAGUAUCUAAUUUAUGUGACCCACCUCAACAUCAUUUUAAAAGGUCAAAAUAAAUGUACUACCACAUUGUAUUCCUUUAUUUUAAUGAAAAAUUUAUAAAACUUUUCAAAUCGAAUUGCAUCUAAAAUAAUGUGUUCAAUAACCUUUCAUACCACUUUAAUAAUAAAAAAUUACCUUCACAUUUAAAAGACCAUCUCAAGAAUUCGUAAUAUUAUUCUUUUUAAUUAUCACGAUAAUGAUCAUUAACAUUUUACCACAUUAAUAUUCAUACAUUCAACCACUUGUCAUUUUUCAGACAUAUUAUGCCCUACUACCAUAUUCACACGAGAGAAUGAAUUAAAUCAAAUGGGCAGAUUUCAUUAGGUCAAAAAUACAUAUUUUUGCUUUAAUCAUCGUAAUAUCAUCACUAUGAUGCAUUAGAACCAACGUCUUAUCCAUAUAAAGAAGCCUUAACUCAUGACUCAAUGAGACUUAACCCAAGAUAUAUAUUAUUAUCAUAACGCUCUGAAACUUUAACUCAAUGUCUUAUUCACUUGGUGCGGUGAAAUUUGAUUUCACCGUCUAACCCUCAAUCAAUGUCUUAACAAAUCAAAUGUAUUAUCAAAAAAAUAAAUAUCAAAAAUCAUAUAUAUAAUCUGAACUUAACUUAAAAUACAAGAAAAAUGAACAGAAUUGAUUAAUUAGAACAUGUCGAAAUCAUAUAAAAGUCACAAAUUAAAAUAAAUUGAUUUUUUUUAACAAUC